GUUCUGUGUACUACGUCACGGAUACAUGAUAAGGCACAUAUAAAACAUGGACUGGUUCCGUACUGUAUAUUAGUGUUCAGCACCACCAUCGCGCCAUCUCAGUAGAACCAGACCAGGGGUAAAUAAAACGACUAGAAAUAACGCACUGUCUGUGAAAGUUAUCCAUAUAGUAAUUUCGGAAUAAACGUGGUAUCAUUUCAUACAUACAGUUGCAUCAAAGUUCAUGAAUAAAUCCACAUCAUAAAAGUUCAAUAUUCCUUGAAACAUGUUAGAUACCAGUUAAGUUUCAUAGUUCAUAAAAUAC
This 304-nucleotide long non-coding RNA is filed under the name Mytilus galloprovincialis (Mediterranean mussel). Lineage: Eukaryota; Metazoa; Mollusca; Bivalvia; Mytilida; Mytilidae. The record is from RNAcentral.